RNAcentral lists this ribosomal RNA (497 nucleotides) under uncultured bacterium. Its description in RNAcentral is "partial 16S ribosomal RNA". It matches the Rfam family "Bacterial small subunit ribosomal RNA", at positions 28 to 507 of the family's 1533-position model. The record is from RNAcentral.
GACGAACGCUGGCGGCGUGCCUAAUACAUGCAAGUAGAACGCUGAAGAGAGGAGCUUGCUCUUCUUGGAUGAGUUGCGAACGGGUGAGUAACGCGUAGGUAACCUGCCUUGUAGCGGGGGAUAACUAUUGGAAACGAUAGCUAAUACCGCAUAACAAUGGAUGACACAUGUCAUUUAUUUGAAAGGGGCAAUUGCUCCACUACAAGAUGGACCUGCGUUGUAUUAGCUAGUAGGUGAGGUAAUGGCUCACCUAGGCGACGAUACAUAGCCGACCUGAGAGGGGGAUCGGCCAAACUGGGACUGAGACACGGCCCAGACUCCUACGGGAGGCAGCAGUAGGGAAUCUUCGGCAAUGGGGGCAACCCUGACCGAGCAACGCCGCGUGAGUGAAGAAGGGUUUCGGAUCGUAAAGCUCUGUUGUAAGUCAAGAACGGGUGUGAGAGUGGAAAGUUCACACUGUGACGGUAGCUUACCAGAAAGGGACGGCUAACUACGUG